CUACCUUCGUUUCUAAAGCAAAAAACUCGUCACCUUCUUCAUACACCAGAUCCAUUUUCACAACAAACUAAAUGGCUGAAAACUUGAUCCAGAGGCUAGAAGCCGCCGUAACACGGCUGGAAUCAUUCUCCCGCGGCUCUCUUUCUCAGCCGCAAGCUGCCCCACUCGACGCCGCAUCAGCCUCAUCGGAACCGUCCAUCGUCGCAUUUGACGAUCUCAUCACGCAAUACGUCGAUAAGGUCACCGAUGCGUCCCAGAAGAUCGGCGGACAGAUUAAGGAUAUUUCGAAUGUUCUUAAACAGGCGUUUUCCGCUCAGAAGGAGCUUCUCGUUAAGAUUAAACAAACUCAGAAACCUGAUGCUGCAGGAAUGGCGGAAUUUCUGAGGCCAUUAAAUGAAAAAAUAGGUGAAGCAGUUAAAAUGACAGAAGGACCCCGUUCCGAUUUCUUCAACCACGUGAGGUCUGUUGCUGAAAGCCUGACCGCUUUAGCAUGGAUUGCAUAUACAGGGAAAAAUUGCGGAAUGAGCAUGCCUAUUGCACAUGUUGAAGAAUGUUGGCAGUCAGCUGAGUUUUAUAGUAACAAGGUCCUUGUAGAAUUCAAAAAUAAAGAUCCAAGUCACGUAGAAUGGGCAAAAGCUCUCAAGGAGCUUUAUGUACCAGGGUUACGGGAUUAUGUAAAGAGUCACUAUCCUUUGGGACCCGUAUGGAGUGCAACAGGGGCAACUGUAUCUGCUCCAUCAAAGUCUUCUGGACCAGGUGCUCCUGCUGCUCCAAAUCCUCCACCAGCUUCACUCGCCAGCUCAUCGUCUUCUUCAUCUUCUUCGUCCCGUCCACAACAAGGAAUGUCUGCGGUUUUUCAAGAAAUUAGUUCAAAGCCUGUUACUGCUGGAUUAAAAAAAGUUACAGAUGACAUGAAGACGAAAAACCGCACAGAUAGAGCAGGAUUUGUGAGUUCUGGUGAAAAAGAACCGCGCAAGAGUGCGCCAGCAGCAGCUGCUAAAGUUGGUCCUCCAAAAUUUGAGCUUGUUAUGGGUCGCAAAUGGGUCGUUGAGAAUCAAAUCGGCGUGAAGGAUUUGUCUAUCGAUGAUUGUGAUCCAAGACAAACAGUUUAUAUUUUCGGAUGCAAAGAUUCAGUUCUUCAGAUAAAAGGGAAAGUUAACAACAUAACUGUUGACAAAUGCACAAAAAUGGGUGUCCUAUUUACGGAUGUUGUUGCCGCUUUUGAGAUUGUUAAUUGCAGCAGUCUUGAGGUGCAAUGCCAGGGUGCAGCACCUACCAUUUCAAUAGACAACACAGCAGGUGUCCAGCUGUACUUGAGCAAAGAUUCUCUAGAAGCUUCCAUCACAACUUCCAAGGCAAGUGAAGUUAAUGUGAUGGUACCUCCCAAAGAUCCUAAUGCUGAUAUGGCGGAACAUCCUAUGCCACAUCAGUACAUUCACACUUACCAGGAUGGCCACUUUGUUACAACCCCUGUAUCCCACUCUGGAGCGUAAUUGGGUACGCACACCAAGUUUCAACCAUCUCUUAAAAUGUGAUUACGAUAAUGUUUUCUGUAGAUUUGGAUAUGGAGAGUAAAGGCAGCUGUUUGACAGUUAAUAUUAAGGUUGUACUACAUGGUUUCCUUAUUAUGCAUCAUUUUUGCUGUGAUAGUGACCUUUAUGCUAUCAUCUUGAGUGAGUUGUAAUAACUAAUAAGUGCUGAUUGAGGUAUUUGGUUCCAAAAUAUUAUUGUUGGACCACAAAGACUCAAAAGACUUGUAACCCAACUAUAUUUUGUUGUAAUAAAGGGUCUGAGUAUAGCCUAGAGUUUCAUCCGU
Molecule: RNA transcript, 1816 nt
Organism: Helianthus annuus (common sunflower)
Lineage: Eukaryota; Viridiplantae; Streptophyta; Magnoliopsida; Asterales; Asteraceae
Gene name: cyclase-associated protein 1
Exons: 11
Source: RefSeq, a predicted model, not a curated record